This 330-nucleotide ribosomal RNA is filed under the name uncultured bacterium. RNAcentral describes it as "bacterial SSU rRNA". It matches the Rfam family "Bacterial small subunit ribosomal RNA", at positions 568 to 899 of the family's 1533-position model. The record is from RNAcentral.
UGCGCAGGCGGAAGUUUAAGUCUGACGUGAAAUACCUGGGCUCAACCUGGGAAUGGCGUUGGAUACUGGACAUCUAGAGUGUAUCAGAGGGGGGUAGAAUUCCACGUGUAGCAGUGAAAUGCGUAGAGAUGUGGAGGAACACCGAUGGCGAAGGCAGCCCCCUGGGAAGACACUGACGCUCAGGCACGAAAGCGUGGGGAGCAAACAGGAUUAGAUACCCUGGUAGUCCACGCCCUAAACGAUGUCAACUAGUGUUGGGGCAGUCAUGCCUUAGUAACGCAGCUAACGCGAGAAGUUGACCGCCUGGGGAGUACGGUCGCAAGAUUAAAA